RNAcentral lists this ribosomal RNA (529 nucleotides) under uncultured bacterium. RNAcentral's name for it is "bacterial SSU rRNA". It matches the Rfam family "Bacterial small subunit ribosomal RNA", at positions 778 to 1304 of the family's 1533-position model. The record is from RNAcentral.
AUAGAUACCCGGGUAGUCCACGCCGUAAACGAUGAGUGCUAAGUGUUAGAGGGUUUCCGCCCUUUAGUGCUGCAGCUAACGCAUUAAGCACUCCGCCUGGGGAGUACGGUCGCAAGACUGAAACUCAAAGGAAUUGACGGGGGCCCGCACAAGCGGUGGAGCAUGUGGUUUAAUUCGAAGCAACGCGAAGAACCUUACCAGGUCUUGACAUCCUCUGACAACUCUAGAGAUAGAGCGUUCCCCUUCGGGGGACAGAGUGACAGGUGGUGCAUGGUUGUCGUCAGCUCGUGUCGUGAGAUGUUGGGUUAAGUCCCGCAACGAGCGCAACCCUUGAUCUUAGUUGCCAGCAUUCAGUUGGGCACUCUAAGGUGACUGCCGGUGACAAACCGGAGGAAGGUGGGGAUGACGUCAAAUCAUCAUGCCCCUUAUGACCUGGGCUACACACGUGCUACAAUGGAUGGUACAAAGGGCUGCAAGACCGCGAGGUCAAGCCAAUCCCAUAAAACCCAUUCUCAGUUCGGAUUGUAGG